GAUAAUUGCAUCGGGGAUCGCGGAUGCGGAGAGCUUGAAUGCCAUUCAAUGCCUACGCUUCUCGUUCCCAGGAGUGAUUAUCU
Apis mellifera (honey bee) is the source of this 83-nucleotide non-coding RNA. Lineage: Eukaryota; Metazoa; Arthropoda; Insecta; Hymenoptera; Apidae. The record is from RefSeq and is marked provisional.